This 253-nucleotide unclassified non-coding RNA is filed under the name uncultured Planctomycetales bacterium. Its description in RNAcentral is "contains 16S-23S intergenic spacer region". It matches the Rfam family "Bacterial small subunit ribosomal RNA", at positions 524 to 776 of the family's 1533-position model. The record is from RNAcentral. Lineage: Bacteria; Pseudomonadati; Planctomycetota; Planctomycetia; Planctomycetales.
UACGUACUGUGCGAACGUUAUUCGGAAUCACUGGGCUUAAAGGGUGCGUAGGUGGUCAGAUAAGUAGGGUGUGAAAUCCCCCGGCCUAACCGGGAAACUGCGCUCUAAACUGUCUGGCUUGAGUGAGAUAGGGGUGUGCGGAACUUCCAGUGGAGCGGUGAAAUGUGUUGAUAUUGGAAGGAACACCGGUAGCGAAAGCGGCACACUGGGUCUCAACUGACACUGAGGCACGAAAGCCAGGGUAGCGAACGGG